Molecule: ribosomal RNA, 244 nt
Filed under: uncultured Staphylococcus sp.
Lineage: Bacteria; Bacillati; Bacillota; Bacilli; Caryophanales; Staphylococcaceae
Description: partial 16S ribosomal RNA
Rfam family: Bacterial small subunit ribosomal RNA
Source: RNAcentral
CGGCGGACGGGUGAGUAACACGUGGAUAACCUACCUAUAAGACUGGGAUAACUUCGGGAAACCGGAGCUAGUACCGGAUAAUAUUUUGAACCGCAUGGUUCAAAAGUGAAAGACGGUCUUGCUGUCACUUAUAGAUGGAUCCGCGCUGCAUUAGCUAGUUGGUAAGGUAACGGCUUACCAAGGCAACGAUGCAUAGCCGACCUGAGAGGGUGAUCGGCCACACUGGAACUGAGACACGGUCCAG